UUUUAGAUCUAAUGUAUGUUAGAUCUAAUUUUAUUAUCUAAUAUUUAAAAUUUAAAAUUAAAUCUAAAAGUAUGAGAAGUAUAGACAUACCUCAAGGGUAAUCUGAUUACCCUGUAGAUGAUCUCUGCACAGCCCGAGGUUUUGAUGUAGCCACACAAGCGUCUGGCCUCUACUAAUAUCUACUUGGGUAGAACCUAGAGCAUCUUCUCCUCUCAAAUCUAUGCUCCAAAAAUCAGAUCUCUAUCUGAUCUGAAAGUACUUCAGAACUCCUUCUGAAGUUGGAGCAGCAGCCUAUCAAAGAUGUCCUGCAGCCUUUUGUUCCAGGCAUCACCACGCCUUGGACCUUUGCCAG
Molecule: long non-coding RNA, 352 nt
Filed under: Elaeis guineensis (African oil palm)
Lineage: Eukaryota; Viridiplantae; Streptophyta; Magnoliopsida; Arecales; Arecaceae
Description: long non-coding RNA (EGUI_LNC057166)
Source: RNAcentral